CUGGCGGCGUGCCUAAUACAUGCAAGUAGAACGCUGAAGAGAGGAGCUUGCUCUUCUUGGAUGAGUUGCGAACGGGUGAGUAACGCGUAGGUAACCUGCCUUGUAGCGGGGGAUAACUAUUGGAAACGAUAGCUAAUACCGCAUAACAAUGGAUGACACAUGUCAUUUAUUUGAAAGGGGCAAUUGCUCCACUACAAGAUGGACCUGCGUUGUAUUAGCUAGUAGGUGAGGUAACGGCUCACCUAGGCGACGAUACAUAGCCGACCUGAGAGGGUGAUCGGCCACACUGGGACUGAGACACGGCCCAGACUCCUACGGGAGGCAGCAGUAGGGAAUCUUCGGCAAUGGGGGCAACCCUGACCGAGCAACGCCGCGUGAGUGAAGAAGGUUUUCGGAUCGUAAAGCUCUGUUGUAAGUCAAGAACGAGUGUGAGAGUGGAAAGUUCACACUGUGACGGUAGCUUACCAGAAAGGGACGGCUAACUACGUGCCAGCAGCCGCGGUAAUACGUAGGUCCCGAGCGUUGUCCGGAUUUAUUGGGCGUAAAGCGAGCGCAGGCGGUUUGAUAAGUCUGAAGUUAAAGGCUGUGGCUCAACCAUAGUUCGCUUUGGAAACUGUCAAACUUGAGUGCAGAAGGGGAGAGUGGAAUUCCAUGUGUAGCGGUGAAAUGCGUAGAUAUAUGGAGGAACACCGGUGGCGAAAGCGGCUCUCUGGUCUGUAACUGACGCUGAGGCUCGAAAGCGUGGGGAGCGAACAGGAUUAGAUACCCUGGUAGUCCACGCCGUAAACGAUGAGUGCUAGGUGUUGGAUCCUUUCCGGGAUUCAGUGCCGCAGCUAACGCAUUAAGCACUCCGCCUGGGGAGUACGACCGCAAGGUUGAAACUCAAAGGAAUUGACGGGGGCCCGCACAAGCGGUGGAGCAUGUGGUUUAAUUCGAAGCAACGCGAAGAACCUUACCAGGUCUUGACAUCCCGAUGCUAUUUCUAGAGAUAGAAAGUUACUUCGGUACAUCGGUGACAGGUGGUGCAUGGUUGUCGUCAGCUCGUGUCGUGAGAUGUUGGGUUAAGUCCCGCAACGAGCGCAACCCCUAUUGUUAGUUGCCAUCAUUCAGUUGGGCACUCUAGCGAGACUGCCGGUAAUAAACCGGAGGAAGGUGGGGAUGACGUCAAAUCAUCAUGCCCCUUAUGACCUGGGCUACACACGUGCUACAAUGGUUGGUACAACGAGUUGCGAGUCGGUGACGGCAAGCUAAUCUCUUAAAGCCAAUCUCAGUUCGGAUUGUAGGCUGCAACUCGCCUACAUGAAGUCGGAAUCGCUAGUAAUCGCGGAUCAGCACGCCGCGGUGAAUACGUUCCCGGGCCUUGUACACACCGCCCGUCACACCACGAGAGUUUGUAACACCCGAAGUCGGUGAGGUAACCUUUUGGAGCCAGCCGCCUAAGGUGGGAUAGAUGAUUGGGGUGAAGUCGUAACAAGGUAGC
This 1480-nucleotide ribosomal RNA is filed under the name uncultured bacterium. RNAcentral describes it as "bacterial SSU rRNA". It matches the Rfam family "Bacterial small subunit ribosomal RNA". The record is from RNAcentral.